UCUUUCCGCCGGUGGCGUCGGCGCUCACGCAGGGGCGGGUCCCGGUAGCGCGAGGCGGUGCAGGGCGGGAAGGGGAUUCGUGGCGGCGGCGGCGGCAGGGACAACAGCGACGGCGGCGGCAGGGACAACAGCGACGGCGGCGGCAGGGACAGCAGGAGCAGUAGUGCUGUCAGCGCGGCGGUCGGAGACAUGGGAGACCCGGGGUCGGAGAUAAUAGAAUCUGUCCCUCCAGCUGGCCCUGAGGCAUCUGAGUCAACAACGGAUGAAAAUGAAGACGACAUUCAGUUUGUCAGUGAAGGACCAUUACGACCUGUUCUUGAAUACAUUGAUCUGGUCAGCAGUGAUGAUGAAGAGCCUAGCACCUCUUAUACUGAUGAGAAUGUUAAACGUAAAGACCAUAUUGAUCAUCAGAAGGAUAAAGUUGCUUUAACUCUGGCUCGUCUAGCCCGCCAUGUUGAAGUGGAGAAACAGCAGAAAGAAGAGAAGAAUAGAGCAUUCAGAGAAAAAGUUGAUUUUCAGCAUGCUCAUGGGUUACAAGAAUUGGAGUUUAUUCGAGGACAUUCUGAUACAGAAGCAGCAAGACUGUGUGUGGACCAGUGGCUAAAAAUGCCAGGACUCAAAACAGGCACAAUUAAUUGUGGAACAAAAAGUUCAUUCCGAAGAGGAGGCCAAACGCGGGUGUCUGGGAAACCAAUUUUAUGUCCUAUAAUGCACUGUAACAAGGAGUUUGACAAUGGGCACCUUCUCUUAGGACAUUUGAAAAGGUUUGAUCACUCUCCAUGUGAUCCAACAAUUACACUACAUGGACCUUUCUUCAGCUCCUUUGCUUGUGUAGUAUGUUAUAAAAAAUUUGUGACUCAACAACAAUAUAGAGAUCACCUUUUUGAUAAGGAAGCCACAGAUGAUGGACAUAACAACAACCUUCUUCCUCAGAUUAUUCAGUGUUUUGCAUGUCCAAAUUGCUUCCUUCUUUUUAGCAGCAAAGAGGAGUGUUCAAAGCAUAUGUCUGGAAAGAAUCAUUUCCAUCAGAGUUUCAGACUGGGUGAUAACAAAGGAAUUGCACAUCCAAUAUCUUUUCCAUCUUUUGCAAAGAAACUUUUGAUCUCUCUGUGCAAAGAUGUUCCAUUUCAAGUUAAGUGUGUGGCCUGCCACCAGACACUGCGUUCCCACAUGGAGCUCACUGCCCAUUUCAGAGUUCGUUGUCGAAAUGCUGGACCUGUAGCUGUAGCUGAGAAGAGCAUUACCCAGGUUGCAGAGAAAUUCAUAUUAAGAGGUUAUUGUCCAGAUUGCAAUCAAGUCUUUGUGGAUGAAACCAGCACCCAAAAUCAUAAGCAGAAUUCAGGACACAAAGUCCGAGUGAUUAACUCAGUGGAAGAAUCAGUCUUACUCUAUUGCCACAGCAGCGAAGGGAACAAGGAUCCUUCUUCUGACUUGCAUUUAUUGUUGGAUCAAUCAAAAUUUUCAUCACUUAAAAGAACCAUGUCUAUGAAAGAAUCUAGCUCACUGGAGUGCAUUGCCAUUCCAAAAAAGAAGAUGAAUUUAAAAGAUAAAAGCCUUGAAGGUGUUGCUUGUGUCCAGAAAGAAAAAUCAGUAGUUAAAACUUGGUUCUGUGAAUGCAAUCAGCGAUUCCCAAGUGAAGAUGCAGUAGAAAAGCAUGUUUUCUCAGCAAACACAAUGGGUUAUAAGUGUGUGGUCUGUGGAAAGGUAUGUGAUGAUUCAGGGGUCAUUCGUUUACACAUGAGCCGGAUUCACGGAGGGGCACAUUUAAAUAACUUUCUUUUCUGGUGUCGGACAUGCAAAAAGGAGUUAACAAGGAAAGAUACUAUCAUGGCACAUGUGACUGAAUUUCAUAAUGGACACAGAUAUUUUUAUGAGAUGGAUGAGGUAGAAGGGGAAACUUUGCCAUCAUCCUCUACAACAUUGGGUAAUUUGACUGCUAACAAGCCUUCAUCAGCUAUUACUAUUAUUGAUCAUUCCCCGGCAAAUAGUUCUCCAAGGGGUAAAUGGCAAUGCCGGAUUUGUGAAGAUAUGUUUGAUUCCCAGGAAUAUGUAAAACAGCACUGCAUGUCUUUGGCAAGCCACAAAUUUCAUAGAUACAGCUGUGCUCACUGCAGAAAGCCUUUUCAUAAGAUAGAAACAUUGUACCGACAUUGCCAAGAUGAGCAUGACAAUGAGAUAAAGAUUAAAUACUUCUGUGGGCUUUGUGAUCUUAUCUUUAAUGUGGAAGAAGCAUUUUUGAGUCAUUAUGAGGAGCACCACAGCAUAGAUUAUGUAUUUGUGUCAGAAAAAACUGAAACUUCAAUUAAAACUGAAGAUGAUUUUCCAGUAAUAGAGACCAGUAACCAGUUAACUUGUGGUUGCCGUGAGAGUUACAUCUGUAAAGUCAACAGAAAAGAAGAUUAUAGCAGAUGUCUCCAAAUCAUGCUGGAUAAAGGAAAACUAUGGUUUCGCUGCAGUUUAUGUUCAGCAACAGCACAGAAUUUAACCGACAUGAACACUCAUAUCCAUCAAGUGCACAAAGAAAAGAGUGAUGAGGAGGAGCAGCAGUAUGUAAUCAAGUGUGGCACCUGCACCAAAGCAUUUCAUGAUCCUGAGAGUGCACAGCAGCAUUUCCAUAGAAAACAUUGCUUCUUACAGAAACUCAGUGUGGCUCAUUUUGGAUGUGAAAAAUCAAACCUGUACAAGUUUACUGCCAGUGCCUCACAUACAGAGAGAAAACUGAAACAGGCAAUAAACUAUUCAAAAAAUUUAGACAUGGAGAAAGGAGUUGAGAAUGACCUAAGCUAUCAGAAUAUAGAGGAAGAAAUUGUUGAGCUUCCAGAUUUGGAUUACCUGCGAACCAUGACUCAUAUAGUCUUUGUAGAUUUUGAUAACUGGUCAAACUUUUUUGGUCAUCUACCAGGGCAUCUAAACCAAGGAACAUUUAUUUGGGGCUUUCAAGGUACGGUUAAUAAGAAAAACAAAAGAAAACCGUUUUUCCCACCUCUUAGAAUAUAGUUCAGUUUAAAAGGCUCCUCUUAAACCUUCCUAGAUAGAACAUAGGAACAUAAUUGGAAUAUUGUUCUUUUGUAUUAUAGUUACUCUGCUAGAAUCGUUUUCUUUACAUGCCUCUGUGGUAAAUGUUAGCUCUAUCUGGUGACUCAAAGUUUAUGGAUCUUUUGGCCGGGCGCGGUGGCUCACGUCUGUAAUCCCAGCACUUUGGAAGGCUGAGGCGGAUGGAUCACGAGGUCAGAAGAUCGAGACCAUCCUGGCUAACAUGGUGAAACCCCGUCUCUACUAAAAAGAAAAAAAAAAAAAAACAAAAAAUUAGCUGGGUGUGGUGGCGGGCGCCUGUAGUCCCAGCUCCUUGGGAGGCUGAGGCAGGAGAAUGGUGUGAACCCAGGAGGCGAAGCUUGCAGUGAGCUGAGAUCGCGCCACUGCACUCCAGCCUGGGCAACAGAGCGAGACUCCGUCUA
RNAcentral lists this small RNA (3455 nucleotides) under Pongo abelii (Sumatran orangutan). RNAcentral's name for it is "retained intron". The record is from RNAcentral. Lineage: Eukaryota; Metazoa; Chordata; Mammalia; Primates; Hominidae.